Molecule: ribosomal RNA, 263 nt
Filed under: uncultured bacterium
Lineage: Bacteria
Description: partial 16S ribosomal RNA
Rfam family: Bacterial small subunit ribosomal RNA
Source: RNAcentral
UACGUAGGGGGGCAAGCGUUUGUCCGGAAUCAUUGGGCGUAAAGAGCGUGUAGGCGGCUCGAUAAGUCUGCUGUGAAAGUCCAGGGCUCAACCCUGGAAGGCCGGUGGAAACUGUCGGGCUAGAGUCCGGAAGAGGCGAGUGGAAUUCCCCGGUGUAGCGGUGAAAUGCGCAGAUAUCGGGAGGAACACCGGUGGCGAAGGCGGGUCGCUGGGCCGAUAUCGACGCUGAGGAGCGAAAGCGUGGGGAGCGAACGGAUUGAGAA